AUGCAAAUGAAGCAUCACUUUGCUCAUGUAGUGAGCUUGGCAGAAAAACAUUCGGGGAACAAAGCGGGCUGGGUGCGUGAGGCGUGUGGGCGAGAGAGUGAGCUGAUCCAAACAGAGGGGCCGGGCCCAGAAGGGGCAGCCAUGUGUCCCGCCGUCGGCAGAUGGGGACAGGCCCGGCCUUCCCAGCAGGCGAAGCAGGUGAAGCUCCAGACUGAGCAGCUGUGUACCAGGAAAGGACAUUCAGAGCAAGGCAGCCUCUACCCAGACCACUGGGAGUUUUCAUCAAAGGGAAAGAAGACAAGGCACAGCGCAGGGGCUGGUUCUCAAGGCUUCCACACAAAGCUGACCCAAUCAUUCUGCUCACGUUUCACAGGCUGGAACAGGUCUCCUGGAGACCUAAGCAUUCAAGAAAUAGGAAAAUGGGGCAGCCGGGGUGGCCCAGUGGUUUAGCGAUGCCUUCAGCCCAGGACCUGAUCCUGGAGACCCGGGAUCGAGUCCCACCUCGGGCUCCCUGCAUGGAGCCUGCUUCUCCCUCUCCUGUGCCUCUGCCUCUCUCUCUGUGUCUCUCAUGAAUAAAUAAAUAAAAUAUAAAAAAAAAAAAGAAAUAAGGAAUGUAAUCCCCUACCUCAGAAUUUGGCAAACUUCUGUAUAAGGCCUCGUGGUAAGUAUUAUAUACUGUGGGCUGCAUGGUCACUGUUAUAGCCACUCAAUUCUACCAUUUUCAUGAGAAAGCAGGGAUAGAUGAAUAUAAAUAAAUGCAUGUGUGCACCAAUAAAACUUUAUUUAUAAAACCAGGCAGUGGGCCAUAUUCUGCUGAAGGAAGGGGCAGUGGACAUUGCUGAGUAACGGAACAAUCUAGCACACAUUCCUUUGUGUUUUUUACUUCCUCUUCUGGUUAACUCUUGCUGUGUAGCAAAUCACCCCAAGACUCAGUGGCUCAGAGCAAUAUCCACACUUAACAUCAUCUUUCACAGUCCUGGGGACUGAUGGGGCCCUGGGAGGGGGCUCUUACUGGGGUUUGUCGAAUGGUGGCUGUCAGGCAGUGGCUGGAGCUGCAAGCAUCGGAAAGCUCACUCAUGUUCGCAGGUCUAGACUAGCCGCUGGCUCCCUGGCUUCCUUAUGUUUUUGUGUUUCUCCACGUGCUUUCUACAGCAUGGCACCUCUUACUGGGCAGCUCAGGGCUUCACAGGUCAAUGGAGAGAGAGCGAGCGAGAGAGCAACAUAUGCGGUAUUUUGAUGAAAUUCAAUUAAAAUUAGAUAAAAUUUAAAGUUCGGCUGCUGAAGCAUCCCAGCCACAUUUCAAGUUUUCUUGGUGGCUACCGUGACUGCGAGACAGUGCACCAAGCCAAGGGGGAGCCAGGUAGCCUUUACUGAUCUAGUCUCAGAAGUCACACAGCAUCAUUUUGGACUCAUCUGCUGCCAGGCUCGCCCAGGUUCAGAGGGAGGGAGACUUAGAUCUCACCUCCUGAUGCAGGGUGGCCAGGUUCUGGAAGAGCACAGGGGACCCAAAAUAUUGCUAUGGCCAUUUUUAGAAAGAAAUAGGCCCACGAGGCAGGACAUUGUAAGAGCCUAGAGAUCACCUCCAGGCAGCCUUGAGGGCAGAGGCCAGACCCCUCGCUGGGUGAGGUGAAUGCUUCUCUGCACAGUACCUUAUUCCCGGGUGGUGAGGAUGCAGGAAGCUAAUCCCGUAGUGUGGUGCCUGACUCAGAGUGAGCGCUCAGUAAGUGUAGCUGCCAUUAUGUCCCAAUUUUAUUUUAUUUUAUUUUAUUUUAUUUUAUUUUAUUUUAUUUUAUUUUUUAUUUGUAUUUUUAAGAUCUUAUUUAUUUAUUUAUUCAUGAGAGACACAGAGAGGCAGAGACACAGGGAGAAGCAGGCUCCCUGUGGGGACCCCCAUACGGGAAUCAAUUCCAGGACCCCAGGAUCAUGCCCUGAGCCAAAGGCAGAUGCUCAACCACUGAGCCACCCAGGUGCCUCCGUGUCCCAAUUUUAGACACAGAGCGAAAGCCACGUUGGGACUGGGGUAAAGAAUGCCUGUGUCUCUCCAAAACUCCUCUGUUGUAAGCCCAAUCCCAAAGAGAUGGUGUUUGAAAGUGAGGCCUUUAGGAACCCAGUAGGUCAUAAGGGUGGAGCCCCCGUGAAUGGGAUGUGUGUCCUUCUAGAAGAGACCCCAGAAAGGUCCCUUGAACCGUCCAUUGUGUGGGCUACCCACACCCCCACUUCCCACCCAGCACCCCAGUCUGAGCUGAGGGAAGGGAAAAACAACCAAGUUCAUUUCAUUUAAUAAAAAGAUUAAUAAAAAAUAUUGAAAAAAUAUUUUUUCAUCUUAUAUUUGUAAAGAUAAUACAAUUCAGAAGUUUCUUAGAAAACAGACCAGAAACUGCCAUCCAGUUUCAUCUUUUUAUAAAAUGAAACUCCUAUGAUCGAUUAAGGAAGGUGGUUAUGGCUGGGUGGUUAGUGGGAGUUUGUUUUUUCUUUUCCUUUUUUUUUUUUUUAUUAACCAUAAGCUUUAAGUUGAAACAUUCUUGGAUGUUUGGGGGAAAACAUCCUCUUAAAAUGGGUCCUUGUGCUUGCCUUCUGGGGAGGCAGUCCUGAGCAGGUGAAUCAUAUGGCAUUUAUGCAUAUGCUAUAUGCAGACUCUGCCCCCCCCCCCAACCUUUGCCUCUUAGGUUGUUGUGCUUCUUUCCCCUUACUUUGCUACAUUUCUAUCGUUAAGUUGGUUUUACUUGAAUGAUUCAUGUUUAAGGGGAAAAAAAUGAAAACACCUUUAAAAUUUGUUUCAACUCCUCCUGCAAAUAAAAAAAUAAAUGAAGAAAAAAAAAAAGACAACCAAGUUCAGUUGGGGGAUGUGACUAAUAUUAUGGGCUGUGUCCGUGACCUGAAGUGGCCAUGGGGCUACCAUCUUACCAUCUGAAAAACGCCUUGGCAUUUGCCAGCCUUUUUCUCUGAGGGAUGGGGGACAAUGGCUAAGAGGCAGAGGGAGACACAAAUGAGGAAGCGCUGCGUUGACAAGAGUCAGCAGGCACAUUACAUCUAGAAGGAGGACUGGGGUUAUCCCCCCAAGCACAAGCAGUGGUUAUUUGGGCCUGGGUACGUUUGAUAAUUGGCUUUGCUUUAUUCCGUCUGUUUUUCUCUAUUUUGUGAUUUUUUUCUACUGGGGAAUCUGCAUUACUUACAUAAUUGGGAAAAAAAUACUUUUUCUUUUUUUAAUUGUGCAAAAAGUAUGCCUGCAGAAUAGGGAGGUUUUUCUGUGCGGCCGAAUCCUAGAGUGUCGCCACCAAAGGGGCAAAGCGUGGUUGCCAUCCUGCCUGCUGGGGGGGCCUCCUCGACCCCCAGGGCAGCCCCCCUUGUGGGGCACCGGGAUUCUCUUUUUGAGCUGCAUUUGCUCUGCCACCUGGAUCCCUCCCCAGGACAGGAGCCCAGUAAGGCGAUCUGAAGUGGGUCCAAGAUCGUGGGAGAGGAGGAGGAAAAUAAAACCUCAUUGUCUGGGAGAUUUCUGGAGGGCUCCGGGUUAAUUGGGGUGCCAGGAACCGUGUGUGGGAUCUAUAAAGCCCACUCCUCCGCCGUGGCCCCGGCAACUUCUGGAACACUCUUUAAUUAAUAUCUGUCCUUUUCUGCAGUGGUUUCCGGGUCCCUGAUCAGACAAUUGAAAUGUUCUCCUGGAAACAAAGACUCGUUUGGAGGUGCUGGG
This 3688-nucleotide long non-coding RNA is filed under the name Canis lupus familiaris (dog). RNAcentral's name for it is "lncRNA (ENSCAFG00030001982.1)". Lineage: Eukaryota; Metazoa; Chordata; Mammalia; Carnivora; Canidae. The record is from RNAcentral.